AACCAAUGGUUUGCCAGGGGCUCUUGGGCCUUUGGCCACAGACUGAAGGCUGCACUGUCAGUUUCCCUACUUUUGAGGUUUUGAGACUUGGACUGGCCUCCUUGCUCCUCAGCUUGCUGACAGCCUAUUGUGGGACUUCACCUUGUGAUCCUGUCAGUCAAAACUGAAGAUCAGCUUUUGAUCAUGAAGAGGAGAUUAGGUCACAGAUGUUCAAUAAGGAAAGACCAUGUGAAGACACAAGAAGAUGGUCAUCUGCAAGCCAAGAGAAAUGUCUCAAAAGGAACUGGCCCUGCUGACAUCUUGACCUUGAAUUUCCAGCCUCAGGUUCUUGGAUGCUUGAUGGAAUUAAGGAUUUGAGAACAUGAGAACAAACAGGAAUAUGCAGGAAAUCUUGAGGACACAGGAGAUGAAGUCAACCUGUGGCCAAGGGAGAGGGAGGGACAUGAGAAGCUUUGUGAAAGAUGUCAGCGCAAACCUCAGGCAAGUGCCACCCAACCUAGAGCUGUGGAUUGAAGUUUGGCGUUGGGGUGUCAGCCUGUGAUUUCCUGAUCUCCAACUCCACUCCUCUUAAGUCACCCAGCCUAAGGCACUGAACCUCAUCAUCAGAACCUCAGAGUCCAACAUCUUGACCAUAGCCUUGCAACCCCACUGUUAGGUGAGUUUCAAGUUCUCACUCCCCAUAAACUUCUUCAGACCACUGCUCCCUCGAAUGACUUUGUUUCCUCCCAGGUCAUCAGUUUCCUUAGUCAAUUUCCAAGUCCUAUCAGUUGUAGACACUACGAUUGGUCAUCCCAUCUGAGUGACUAUUUCACUUAAACUUGCCUUUCCUCCUCUGUUUGCAAUAACUCUCAUACAUAGCUCUAGCUUAACAUCCACGUUGCCUUCUCUAUUCUUACCUCCAGGACAGCAGAACACUAAACAUUAAGUUCUUCAAUGCUAAAAAACAUCCUGUAAUCACGAAAAUCAGCCCAGUACAAAUUCAUGCUCACUACACGUGGUUCUCAGCUGCUGUGGGGCCUCUCUCUUCCCUUCAGUAUCCACAGACUUGCAACGUUCUUCUCAGCCUUCCUUCGCACCACUAAAUUAUCUCAUUAAGUCAGGACCAUCUGGUGGGAACUCCUUUAACUUCCCAGGGCCCAGGAAAAAUAAACCAUAUUUACCCAUGCCUCCCUCUUUCUCCAUGUGCCUUUUCAAGAAGAGAGGCUCUUCUCCCAGUGUCUCUCUCCCUGAUUCCAUAUCACCCUCUCUUCUUUGGGAUACUUCUCCAAAGAGUGUGGUCUUUCAGGUAUCCUUACUGUCUUAUGACUGAGUCAUUCCACUUGGCUUAUGAACCUCUUUGUUGCUUAUUCCAGGCACUCUGAGUCUCCCCUGCAUUCAGUCUCCCUUCAGCAUACAACACUGUUCAUGAUGCUUUUUGUAAAGCCCUCUGCUUCCCCAUCCUCCUUAGAUCUUCUGCUACUACUCUGGCCAGUUUUUUCUCUGUCUGCUGCUUCUCCUUCCCUUGACCUAUUACUUCCUUCCUCCUCCUGAAGAAAUCUGAUCUGCAGCUCCUCUUCUGUUUUCAUCAGUGUGCUCACUCUUGAUGCUGCUGCUCCUGCAGCUACUGCCAAGUCUCACUUGAUAGACAGUACCCACUCCAUAUGGGGCA
Long non-coding RNA from Homo sapiens (human), 1648 nucleotides. The record is from Ensembl. NCBI's taxonomy places the organism in Eukaryota, Metazoa, Chordata, Mammalia, Primates, Hominidae.